Molecule: non-coding RNA, 90 nt
Organism: Orbilia brochopaga
Lineage: Eukaryota; Fungi; Ascomycota; Orbiliomycetes; Orbiliales; Orbiliaceae
Source: the annotation of a GenBank genome assembly
GCUUCCUUAGCUCAGUUGGUAGAGCGCGACACUAGUACGCUUACUCAGCGCGCAAUGUCGAGGUCAGUCGUUCGAAUCGGCUAGGAAGCA